Molecule: long non-coding RNA, 791 nt
Organism: Cygnus olor (mute swan)
Lineage: Eukaryota; Metazoa; Chordata; Aves; Anseriformes; Anatidae
Exons: 2
Source: RefSeq, a predicted model, not a curated record
GCGCGGCGCGGCGCUGAGUGGGCCGACAUGGCGGGCACCGGGAUGGCGGCGGCGGCGGGAGGGACGGGGGCCUGCGCCCGCGGCGCUGUGCUGUGCUGGCAGGGCCGGGGGCCUCCUCACAGCGAGCUCCCCGCUGGGAGAGGACGCAUGGAGGGCCCCGGGGGCCCUCAGCCGCGUGUAAAAGGGGAAGGAGGCAGGCAGGCAGGCGGGUGGCCGCCGCCUGGAGUGCCUUGUUGUGUGUGCGCUGUGCCUUGGUAACCUGCUGCUGCUGCUGGGUGUGGGCUCGGGCCUGGGCCGGGGUGGGUGGCUUCUGGCUUCCACGUACGGACUGCUCGUUUCCUGACUUCUUGUUAACAACUCUUUCGUUUGGGGGAUACUUCAUCUAAUCCAGUGGCAAAAUCCAAACAGUAAGGAUCUUCUCUGCGUAAUCUUCUUCUAGCCUUGCAAAGGUUGGUCUGUGCAUGGUCCUGCUUUAUUUAAGUGCCUGGAAGACUCUGUGGAAUCAGGACCUGGUGUGUUAUCUGGCAUGAAAUGUAAACAAAGGGUUGUAAUUAAAAGUGCAUUAGGCAGAAGGUUGUUUGAAGCAGAUAUGAAGAUAUAAUGGAACCUGAAGAAGUGAAUGCUCUAUUAAAAAAAAAAUGAAGAUUUAAAAAUGUUUAUAUUUAUGCUUUUCAAGUAAAAGACAGUGAAAUCUUGCUUUUAAGUUCAUACCAGUUCAGAAACCAAGUCUGAGUAUGUAUAUAUGUACAUGUGUAAAUACAUACAAAAAUAAAGAGAUCUUGUAGUAGUAA